UAAGUAGGUUAUAGACCGCUGA
RNAcentral lists this microRNA (22 nucleotides) under Drosophila mojavensis. RNAcentral's name for it is "Dmo-Novel-5-P2_3p* (star (passenger))". Lineage: Eukaryota; Metazoa; Arthropoda; Insecta; Diptera; Drosophilidae. The record is from RNAcentral.